AUUGAACGCUGGCGGCAGGCCUAACACAUGCAAGUCGAUCGGAAGAAGGGGGUUUGCCCCUGGAUCCAGCGGCGGACGGGUGAGUAAUGCUUAGGAAUCUGCCUUGCAGUGGGGGAUAACGUCCGGAAACGAGUGCUAAUACCGCAUACGUCUUGCGGGAGACAGUUGGGGAUCUUCGGACCUCACGCCAUCAGAUGAGCUUAGGUAGGAUUAGCCAGUUGGUGGGGUAAACGCCUACCAAGGCGGCGAUCCGUAACUGGCCAGAGAGGAUGAUCAGGCCGGCUGGAACUGAGACACGGUCAAGAGUCCUACGGGAGGCAGCAGUGGGGAAUAUUGGACGAUGGGCGAAAGCCUGAUCCAGCCAUGCCGCGUGUGUGAAGAAGGUCUUCGGAUUGUAAAGAACUUUAAGUUGGGAGGAAGGGCAGUAAGUUAAGACCUUGCUGUUGUGACGGUACCAACAGAAUAAGCGCCGGCUAACUUCGUG
This 484-nucleotide ribosomal RNA is filed under the name uncultured bacterium. RNAcentral describes it as "partial 16S ribosomal RNA". It matches the Rfam family "Bacterial small subunit ribosomal RNA", at positions 30 to 507 of the family's 1533-position model. The record is from RNAcentral.